GCUGGGCAUGGUGGUGCACUCCAGUAAUCCCACUGCUGUGGGAGGCUGAGGCAGGAGGAUUGCAAGUUCAAAGGUAGCCUCAGCAACUUAGGGAGGCCCUAAGCAACUUAGUGAGACCCUGUCUCAA
Molecule: small RNA, 127 nt
Filed under: Marmota monax (woodchuck)
Lineage: Eukaryota; Metazoa; Chordata; Mammalia; Rodentia; Sciuridae
Source: RNAcentral